UCAAUAGCUAGAUUAGUUUUUGAAAUAUAUGAUACUAGCGGUUGACCCGAUAGCUAUGAACCGGAAUUAACAUAGCUCCGAAACCGGAAGUGGAAUCGCCAUCUGGUCUUUUAUUUACUGCCCGGUCCGAGCUACCUCAUAACACCAAAUUUCAGCAUCGGGACAGCCCUUGUGUAGCCGCCAACCCUGAACAGAAGGUCUGACAGACAAACAAAUGGCAGUCACAAAUUAGUAUAAACUGAUCAAAAAUAACUACAUUUAUUUUCUUGAUGAGGGUGAUAAUGUCUCUUUAAGAGAGGUAACCCCUCUGUUCCCCAGCUAGCUACGACACCGUUUAUCGCUUAUCAGUUACUGUCUUGAAACAAACUAUUAUAUUUAUUUUUGUUCAAAGUUUAUUGCUGGAUAUAAUUUUAGGCCUAUUAUAUUGAUAUGAGAAAGGUGCACCGCUAUUAUAACUACCUAUAAUAAUAAUGUUUUGGUUGAUAUCCUCUUACCUAUUAUAAUGAAUGACGUAUAGUUUUAAAAAACAGAAACAGUACCGCAUGAUAUCAUCAACGAAACCGUCAUACAGUAAGAUAAUAUCGUCGUGAAGGAUUAAAUCAAAUAGUUUAUGUCUGGUACAUAGCAAACGGUGACCUACCUGGUAUACAAGAUAUGGCCCAUAUUAGGAGAUAUGGUACUCACCAACUGGACUAUGCAACAGUACGUGACCACUGUCUGAAGACCAGGUCAUUAUUUGUUGACCCUGACUUUCCACCGGAAGAGAGGUCUUUAUACAUCGAUGGCCAAAGAGAUCGACAAUUUGGGCGGGUAGUCUGGAAAAGACCACGGGACAUUUGUAGUCGGCCAAGAUUUGUGGUUGGUAAUAUAGACCGACAUGACCUAGACCAAGGAUAUAUAGGAGACUGUUGGUUUGUGGCCGCAGCAGCUACAUUAUGCACAUCACAUAGAAAUAUAUUUGAGCGUGUUGUUCCAAUAGAUCAAACAUUUGAUACAGGAUAU
This is a long non-coding RNA of Patella vulgata (common limpet), 1002 nucleotides long. RefSeq lists it as uncharacterized. The transcript is spliced from 3 exons. Lineage: Eukaryota; Metazoa; Mollusca; Gastropoda; Patellidae. The record is from RefSeq and is a predicted model, not a curated record.